RNAcentral lists this ribosomal RNA (253 nucleotides) under uncultured bacterium. RNAcentral's name for it is "partial 16S ribosomal RNA". It matches the Rfam family "Bacterial small subunit ribosomal RNA", at positions 524 to 776 of the family's 1533-position model. The record is from RNAcentral.
UACGGGGGGAGCAAGCGUUGUUCGGAUUUACUGGGCGUAAAGGGCGCGUAGGCGGUAGCACAAGUCAGUUGUGAAAUCUCCGGGCUUAACUCGGAAAGGUCAACUGAUACUGUGCGACUAGAGUGCAGAAGGGGCAACUGGAAUUCUCGGUGUAGCGGUGAAAUGCGUAGAUAUCGAGAGGAACACCGGUGGCGAAGGCGGGUCUCUGGGCCGAUACUGACGCUGAGGAGCGAAAGCGUGGGGAGCGAACAGG